GACGAACCGUGCGAACGUUGUUCGGAAUCACUGGGCUUAAAGGGCGCGUAGGCGGGCCUUCAAGUCCGGGGUGAAAUCCUCCAGCCUAACUGGAGAAGAGCCUCGGAGACUGAGGGCCUCGAGGAGGGUAGGGGCGUGCGGAACUCUGGGUGGAGCGGUGAAAUGCAUUGAUAUCCAGAGGAACACCAAUGGCGAAGGCAGCUCGCUGGAACGGUACUGACGCUGAGGCGCGAAAGCGUGGGGAGCAAACAGG
RNAcentral lists this ribosomal RNA (253 nucleotides) under uncultured bacterium. RNAcentral describes it as "partial 16S ribosomal RNA". It matches the Rfam family "Bacterial small subunit ribosomal RNA", at positions 524 to 776 of the family's 1533-position model. The record is from RNAcentral.